RNAcentral lists this ribosomal RNA (501 nucleotides) under Pseudocercospora sp. CBS 110993. Its description in RNAcentral is "eukaryotic LSU rRNA". The stretch from base 171 to 324 matches the Rfam family "5.8S ribosomal RNA". The record is from RNAcentral. Lineage: Eukaryota; Fungi; Ascomycota; Dothideomycetes; Mycosphaerellales; Mycosphaerellaceae.
AACCUGCGGAGGGAUCAUUACUGAGUGAGGGCUCACGCCCGACCUCCAACCCUUUGUGAACCAAACUUGUUGCUUCGGGGGCGACCCUGCCGACGACUCCGUCGCCGGGCGCCCCCGGAGGUCUUCUAAACACUGCAUCUAUGCGUCGGAGUUUAAAACAAAUUAAACAAAACUUUCAACAACGGAUCUCUUGGUUCUGGCAUCGAUGAAGAACGCAGCGAAAUGCGAUAAGUAAUGUGAAUUGCAGAAUUCAGUGAAUCAUCGAAUCUUUGAACGCACAUUGCGCCCUUUGGUAUUCCGAAGGGCAUGCCUGUUCGAGCGUCAUUUCACCACUCAAGCCUGGCUUGGUAUUGGGCGUCGCGGUGUUUCCGCGCGCCUUAAAGUCUUCCGGCUGAGCUGUCCGUCUCUAAGCGUUGUGGAUUUUUCAAUUCGCUUCGGAGUGCGGGCGGCCGCGGCCGUUAAAUCUUUAUUCAAAGGUUGACCUCGGAUCAAGUAGGGAUA